Molecule: long non-coding RNA, 5925 nt
Filed under: Olea europaea (common olive)
Lineage: Eukaryota; Viridiplantae; Streptophyta; Magnoliopsida; Lamiales; Oleaceae
Description: long non-coding RNA (OEUR_LNC008862)
Source: RNAcentral
UAAGUUGAUUCAAUUUUGGCAAUUUUACAUUCAAGCAGCUUUACCAGCAACAUAUUUUGAGUAAUCAAACUGGAAAAACCUCAAAAUAAUACUGUCUACUUUAUUCAGACCAUUUGCAAGCAAAAUUUUUAUCAUAUAAAAAUGGCAAAAAUGUGAUGGAAUUUUUUUGAAGAUCCUAUUAGAUAUAUUAUAUGGAAGACUUACCCACUCGUGUUUUUAUUUUAUAGGUUUUCUAGUACCUUAUGUAUUUUUUUAGUUGUUUCCUACAAUGUUAGAUUAGUUAAAACCUGAUACAGAAGGAUCCGAGUCGAGUGAUGUUGAUUUGUCAGAUAACACGAUGAUGGCGCUGAGAUACCAUGAGAUGGCAGAUCGGCGCAAAGAUGGAAAGUGAAUCCCUAUUAUUUCCUAAAUUGGGGGAAUUUGACGCGUCUUUGGUAAUUUGACCAUAACUUUGGCUACGUUUAUCGGAAUCGCUAUUAUGACCCCAGUCCGGAAAGCUCUCUUUGGCGCGCACAUUGUGGCCACCCAAAUAUGCUCGGUGGACGUCAAUUUCGAGCCCAAAAUCCACUGUUUUCCUUUCCAAAAUUCAAUUUUAAGUUAUUUUUUAUUAUUUAUGGUAAUAUUUCGUUUCCUUUUUUCCAUAUGUUAGAAAACUCGAAUUGAUCCAAAUUUUUGGCCACUUACUUCUUUUACUUAAUAUUUUAUUUUGGUAUAAUUUUGGGAUUUUGCCAUUUUUGGUAAUUUUCCCAUAAUCGUAUUUCGCAGCUAUUUAACCCGACUUGUGAGUUAGUUUUGAUCAUGUUGCAUUAUUAAUAAUAUUGAGUUGAAUUCAGAGUAUUAUCUCUGGUUUUUUGGGCGUUUUCUGUCGUUCUUUUCUUGCGAAUCAUCUGCUACAACAAGCCAAUAGGAUAAUCAUUAUCCUACCCGGCGUCAGUUGGUAUCAGAGCGUCAGCAUCUUCUUGGAAGAUAAAUUCCAUCAGUUAUAAUGGUUGGUGGACGUGGUCGUGGUCGUCGAGGACAGGUUCCGAUUGAGGAAGUCCCGCACCGUGAUCGUAAUAUUCAGGAUGUGACGAUUGAAGAUUUGCAGAGAUAAGUUGCGAAGUUAACCCAACGUUUGGCGGAGCAAGAGUUCGGUAAUCAUGAUGUAGAAGGUCACGAUUUCGAUACCAGUUUCGAAAAUCUGUAUCACCAUCGUGCUCGAGUUUGGGAGCAUCGUGGACGGGAGGAUCGUCAUGUGGACUUCGAUUUCAGAGUGGAUCUGCCCGAGUUUUCUGGUACGUUGCAGGCUGAAGGAUUUAUUGAUUGGCUGAAUGAAGUGGAGCGGAUUUUAGAAUAUAAGGAGGUUCCAGAUCGUGUCAAAGUGAAACUGGUCGCCAUCAAACUCAAAGGUAGGGCAUCUGCAUGGUGGGAACAGUUGAAGCGUUCACGGGAGCGACAGGGGAAAUCCAAAAUUACUAACUGGGAGAAGAUGAAGAAGAAGAUGAAAUGGCACUUCCUCCCUUUCGGCUAUACUCAAACCUUGUUUCAGAGGCUUCAUUCACUAAGGCAAGGCGCAAGAUCAGUCAAUGAUUAUACUGAAGAAUUCUAUCAGUUGGUAGCUCGGAAUGAUUUAUCUGAGACGGAGAAGCAGAUGGUAGCACUGUAUUUGGGGGGAUUAAGGCAGCCCCGACAGGAUGUUCUCAGCCUUCAUUCAUUGUGGACAGUUUCUGAGGCAUAUCAGCGAGCACUUUCAAUAGAGAAACAGCAAAGUAGGAGGCCAGUGGUCAGAGGUGAAGGAAGUCAGCCAGUUCGCCCUCAAGAAUCUCGUCCUGCUUAUCAGCCACAGCGGGAUAGUUCCACCUCAAGUAUUAAGUACUUUAGGUGUGGUAAACAGGGGCAUAGGACGACUGAUUGCAGGAAGCCUGCUGGUUAGAAGAAUAAAAAUCUUCUAAUUGAGGAGGAUAUGAUAGAGGAGUUCGAGGAAGUUGGGGAACCCGUGUAUGAUGAGGGUGAAGAUGAGAACGUGCUAUAUGGAGAUGGUCAGGAGACCCUGGUCGUUCGAAAGAGCCUGCUGACUCCCAAGGGCGACUCAAGGGAUGAUUGGUUGAGGACCAACGUUUUCCACACAACCUGCAUAGUUGCUGAUAAAGUCUGUAAGCUGAUAAUUGAUAGUGGCAGUUGUGAGAAUGUAGUGUCUGAGGAGGCUAUCGAGAAACUGCAACUGAAGAUGGAUCGUCAUCCCAAACCAUACAAGUUGUCUUGGCUGAAUAAAGGCAGUGAGGUAACGGUAGAAAAACGAUGCUUAUUGUCUUUCUCGAUUGGAAAAAAAUAUUUUGAUAAUGCUUGGUGUGAUGUGGUAUCAAUGGACGCGUGUCAUGUUUUGUUGGGACGACCUUGGCAGUAUGAUCGCAGUGUUAUCCAUGAUGGGCGAAAGAAUACUUAUUCUCUUAGCAUUAAAGGGAAGAGAAUUGUUUUGGUGCCUCGCAGGGAAGGAAACAUCCCUCCCCAGUAGUUAAAAACCCCAAUCUACAUUCUAUGUCCAGGUUUUUGGUUGAGGUUGGGCGUAAAAAAAAUAGUUUAUGCUUUAAUGCCUCAUGAAAAUAGUACAGCGAAUGUGGAUUCAGAAUUUCCAGCAGAAGUACAGCAACUACUGAUGGAGUUUUCUAACUUGAUGCCGGAGGAUCUUCCUCCAGGACUGCCACCUAUGAGGGACAUUCAACAUCAGAUUGACCUAAUUCCGGGGUCGAGUCUACCAAACCGACCAGCAUAUCGCCUCAAUCCAAAGGAAGCUGAAGAGUUGCAGCGACAGGUGGUAGAAUUAUUGGAAAGGGGCUACAUUCGUGAGAGUAUGAGUCCUUGUGCAGCUUCUGCUCUACUAGUGCCGAAGAAAGAUGGGUCAUGGCAUAUGUGUGUUGACAGCAGGGCAAUUAACAGGAUUACAGUGAAGUACAGGUUUCCAAUUCCCCGUCUGGACAACAUGUUGGAUCAAUUGUCCGGUUCUAAGGUCUUCUCAAAAAUUGACCUUAAAAGUGGAUACCACCAGAUCAGAAUCAGGCCUGGAGAUGAGUGGAAGACCGCGUUCAAGACACAGCAUGGGUUGCAUGAGUGGAUGGUCAUGCCCUUUGGACUAUCCAACGCACCCAGCACUUUUAUGAGGUUUAUGCAUCAGGUUUUACGGCCUUUCAUGGGAAAGUUUGUGGUAAUUUAUGUUGGUGACAUACUUAUUUAUAGUCUGACAUGGGAAUCACAUUUUAAUCAUCUUCGUACUGGCUUUGAUGUAAUGAGGACGGAGCGCUUAUUCAUCAAUCAGAAUAAGUGUUCUUUCUUCACAACUUCUGUAACUUUUUUGGGUUUUGUUGUGUCUACUGAUGGUGUUCAUGCAGAUCAAUCCAAAAUUGAGGCAGUUUUGAAUUGGCCGAAACCAAAAACUUUGCACGAUGUCAGGAGUUUCCAUGGAUUGGCAUCCUUCUAUCGUCGAUUCAUCAAAAACUUUAGUACCUUGAUUGCUCCUAUCACAGAGUGCCCUAAAGGGCGUGAUUUUCAAUGAACUGAGGAGGCAGAGGCUAGCUUUCAGUUGGUUAAGUAGAAGAUGACGGAGGCCCCAGUCUUGGCACUUCCAAAUUUCGAAAAGUUGUUCGAGGUAAACUGUGAUGCGUCUGGAGUUGGUAUUGGUGGUGUUCUGAGUCAGGAGGGACGUCCAGUAGCCUUUUUUAGUGAGAAGCUAUCGGGAUCGAAGAAAAAUUAUUCCACUUAUGACCUGGAGUUCUAUGCCAUAGUUCAGACUCCGAAGCAUUGGCGACAUUACCUGGUACAGAGGGAGUUCAUCCUUGUUAUUGAUCAUGAGGCUUUGAAGUACAUCAAUGGUCAGCACAAGCUGAGUAGGCGACAUGCAAAGUCGGUGGCGUACUUGCAGGAGUUUACUUUCACACUCAGGCAUCAAGCAGGGAGUUUGAAUCGAGUAGCAGAUGCAUUGAGCCAUCGCACAUUACUCCUCACCACCAUGAGCACCAAGAUUGUCGGAUUUGAGGCAUUUCCUGAUAUGUAUGCUGCGGAUCCUUCAUUUGGGAAGAUAAUUCGGGAGGUAACUGAUAAUCACCGACAUGAUUUUGUUUUACAUAAUGGUUACCUGUUUCAUGGAUUGCAGUUAUGCAUUUCGGAUUGUUCACUAUGGCAGCAGAUUAUUAGUGAACUUCAUAACGAAGGACAUUUUGGGCGAGACAAGACAUUGACAUUGGUCUCUUCUGAUUAUUACUGGCCCAAGUUGAGCAGUGAUGUGGCGCAUUAUGUGGAGCGGUGUUAUGUAUGUCAGCGGUCUAAAGGGGCUCUUACUAAUGAUGGAUUGUACACACCAUUACCCGUACCUGAAGCUCCUUGGUUUGAUGUCAGUAUGGAUUUUGUCUUGGGCUUAACUCGUACAUAGUGGGCGAUGGAUUCCAUUCUUGUUGUGGUUGACAGAUUUUCAAAGAUGGCUCAUUUUGUGGCUUGCCGGAAGACAAUGGAUGCUACUCGGAUUGCUCAUCUUUAUUUUAGAGAGAUUGUGCGUUUACAUGUGUUCCACAGUCAAUUACUUUUGAUCGUGACACUAAGUUUAUGAGUCAUUUCUGGAGGAGUUUGUGGGAGAAACUUGGAACGAAAUUGAAUUUUAGCAGCGCAUACCAUCCCCAAACAGAUGGUCAGACUGAGCUGGUAAAUCAGAGUUUGGGAAAUCUUUUGAGAAGCUUAGCCGGGACUAAACCGAAGCAGUGGGAUUUGGCAUUACCUCAAGUAGAGUUUGCUUAUAAUCGGUCGAGGAAUAGAACCACCGGACUGAGUCCUUUUGAAAUUGUAUAUGGUCGAAACCAAUCCGGAGUACUUGAUUUGGCUCCAAUUCCAUGUGUGGGUCGCUUCAAUAACAAAGCUGAUGAGAUGGCUGAACAUCUUCAAGGUAUUCAUGAGCUGGUGAAGUUGUCCAUACAGGAUAGUAAUACUAGGUACAAAGUUCGGGCAGAUAGUCAUCGACGCCAGGUGUUGUUUGAUGUUGGGUGAUUUUGUUUGGGCAGUAUUAACUCGUGAUCGUUUUCCAGCUGGGGAAUACAAUAAGCUAAAGGAGCGAAAGAUUGGACCUUGUGAAGUGCUGCAGAAGAUCAAUGAUAAUGCUUACAGAUUGUGCCUCCCAAGCCAUUUGAAGACCUCUGACGUCUUCAAUGUAAAACACCUAAGCCCUUGUUUUGUGGAGUCCGAUGAAGUUACUGUGAACUCGAGGGCGAGUUCUUUCCAACUCGGGGCGACUGAUGCAGGAGGAUUCGAGUCGAGUGAUGCUGAUUUGUCAGAUAGCACGAUGAUGGCACUGAGAUACCAUGAGAUGGCGGAUCGGCGCAAAGAUGGAAAGUGAAUCACCAUUAUUUCCUUAAUUGGGGGAAUUUGACGCGUCUUUGGUAAUUUGGCCAUAACUUUGGCUAUGGUUAUCGGUAUCGCUAUUGUAACCCUAAUCCGAAAAGUUCUCUUCGGCGCGCACGUCGUGGCCAUCCAGCUAUGCUCGAUGGACAUCAAUUUCGAGCCCAAAAUCCAUUGUUUUCCUUUCCAAAAUUCAAUUUUAAAUUAUUUUUUACUAUUUAUGGUAAUAUUUCGUUUCCUUUUUUUCCAUAUGUUAGAAAACUCGAAUUGAGCCAAAUUUUUGGCAACUUACUUCUUUUACUUAAUAUUUUAUUUUGGUAUAAUUUUGGGAUUUUGCCAUUUUUGGUAAUUUUCCCAUAAUUUCGUAUUUCGCAGCUAUUUAACCCGGCUUGUGAGUUAGUUUUGAUCAUGUUGCAUUAUUAAUAAUAUUGAGUUGAAUUCAGAGUAUUUUCUCUGGUUUUUUGGGCGUUUUCUGUCGUUCUUUUCUUGCGAAUCAUCUGCUACAACAAGCCAAUAGGAUAAUCACUAUCCUACCCGGCGUCAAAACCCUACAUAAAGGGAGCUUAUGCACUG